Molecule: long non-coding RNA, 179 nt
Organism: Cucurbita maxima (winter squash)
Lineage: Eukaryota; Viridiplantae; Streptophyta; Magnoliopsida; Cucurbitales; Cucurbitaceae
Exons: 2
Source: RefSeq, a predicted model, not a curated record
UGUGAAUUAAAAAAAGCUGAACUAUGCCAAAAUAUUCAAGAGGAAAACUCAAAUGAAAUGCCUAUCCAUCCAUCCAUCAUACCAAUAAGGGUUUCAUCAUUCUAAAGUAAUGGGAGAAGAAUGACGUGGGAGUUUGGGGAGCUAAGUGAAGAACAUGGAUUUGGGUUAGCAAUAAAAAU